GAACCAACAGGGAUUGCCCUAGUAACGGCGAGUGAAGCGGCAACAGCUCAAAUUUGAAAUCUGGCGUAAGCCCGAGUUGUAAUUUGUAGAGGAUGCUUCUGGGUAGCGGCCGGUCUAAGUUCCUUGGAACAGGACGUCAUAGAGGGUGAGAAUCCCGUAUGUGACUGGCUUGCACCCUCCACGUAGCUCCUUCGACGAGUCGAGUUGUUUGGGAAUGCAGCUCUAAAUGGGAGGUAAAUUUCUUCUAAAGCUAAAUACCGGCCAGAGACCGAUAGCGCACAAGUAGAGUGAUCGAAAGAUGAAAAGCACUUUGGAAAGAGAGUUAAAAAGCACGUGAAAUUGUUGAAAGGGAAGCGCCCGCAACCAGACUUUGCGGCGGUGUUCGGCUGGUCUUCUGACCGGUUUACUCGCCGCCGUGAGGCCAUCAUCGUCUGGGACCGCUGGAUAAGACCUGAGGAAUGUAGCUCCCUUCGGGGUGUGUUAUAGCCUCUGGUGAUGCAGCGCGUCUCGGGCGAGGUCCGCGCUUCGGCAAGGAUGAUGGCGUAAUGGUUGUCGGCGGCCCGUCUUGAAACACGGACCAAGGAGUCUAACAUCUAUGCGAGUGUUCGGGUGUCAAACCCCUACGCGUAAUGAAAGUGAACGGAGGUGGGAACUUUUUGUGCACCAUCGACCGAUCCUGAUGUCCUCGGAUGGAUUUGAGUAAGAGCAUAGCUGUUGGGACCCGAAAGAUGGUGAACUAUGCCUGAAUAGGGUGAAGCCAGAGGAAACUCUGGUGGAGGCUCGCAGCGGUUCUGACGUGCAAAUCGAUCGUCAAAUUUGGGUAUAGGGGCGAAAGACUAAUCGAACCAUCUAGUAGCUGGUUCCUGCGACUC
Molecule: ribosomal RNA, 872 nt
Filed under: Pseudocercospora timorensis
Lineage: Eukaryota; Fungi; Ascomycota; Dothideomycetes; Mycosphaerellales; Mycosphaerellaceae
Description: eukaryotic LSU rRNA
Rfam family: Eukaryotic large subunit ribosomal RNA
Source: RNAcentral